This 253-nucleotide ribosomal RNA is filed under the name uncultured bacterium. RNAcentral describes it as "partial 16S ribosomal RNA". It matches the Rfam family "Bacterial small subunit ribosomal RNA", at positions 524 to 776 of the family's 1533-position model. The record is from RNAcentral.
UACGUAGGGUGCAAGCGUUAAUCGGAAUUACUGGGCGUAAAGCAUGCGCAGGCGGUUGUGCAAGACAGAUGUGAAAUCCCCGGGCUCAACCUGGGAACUGCAUUUGUGACUGCACGGCUAGAGUGUGUCAGAGGGGGGUAGAAUUCCACGUGUAGCAGUGAAAUGCGUAGAUAUGUGGAGGAAUACCGAUGGCGAAGGCAGCCCCCUGGGAUGACACUGACGCUCAUGCACGAAAGCGUGGGGAGCAAACAGG